This is a non-coding RNA of Salvelinus sp. IW2-2015, 791 nucleotides long. The record is from RefSeq and is a predicted model, not a curated record. NCBI's taxonomy places the organism in Eukaryota, Metazoa, Chordata, Actinopteri, Salmoniformes, Salmonidae.
CAUGAAAAUAAUCCACUUCUGGACGUGUGGUCCUUCGGCCUCCCAAGAGGGCUGGCGCCAGGGCUAAAGCAGGGGCCAAGAUAGCGGAUGGAGAACACACGGACCACCUAAGGACCUAUGUGCCAUCGCUGCCUUCCUGUUACCGCUGCUGGAGGCUUCCGGAUGGAUAACGCCAACCACUCCGCUUUCUCCCUCCCUCUGUCCCUAUCUCUCUGUUUCUCUCUCUCUUUCUUUCAUAAUCCUGGAAUUAAAGUGUGACUAUGUUAACCAGUCAGGUCAGUCAAAAAGAUUGCUACUGGUGACACUGAAAUCCGGUACUAUCCUGUGUCAGUAUUUGAGAUAUAUAUGGUUAAAUUCAAAAAGAUUUGUAAUAUUGAUAUUGCGCGUGACGUAAAUAUGUCCUUUGGAGUGGAACUUGAGGCAGAAGAUUUUUCUGACWMUGGRCAGGCGACAAAGAUUCUGURCAAACGYAAACGUCGGAAAAGCAUAACGGAGCCUUUACAUUUUAGCUCUGAAACUGAGCUCUWCAUAAGUACAGAGGGUGCAGAUCAGACAUUGAGUGUGAAAAACAACAUCAUAGACUCUUCUCAGCGUUCCAUCAUAUCAGAUUCUGAUAUUUUAGACAGACGCAAACGUAGGAAUAGCUUAGAUACUCCACCAGAUUUUGUAACAUGCACACUGGAACAUAUUCAGUAUGUAUACUUUGAAGCUUUAUGUUUUAUGUAUACUUUGAAGCUACAUAGUCACACUUUAAACCAGAUAUAUCUAAUAAAGCCUUCAUGACGCCUUCA